GUUCCAUGUCCAUCGGCGGUGCAAACAGGAGCUCUGUCGUCACCCACGGUCGGGCACUAUGAGAGAAUUUGUUGAGAGUAGCUUAUUUGGUCAGGGUGGAGAUGAUUAAUGAUGGCAUGUGGGAGUUUUAUAUGCAUCUCCACGGGCCUGAAGACACCAUUUAAAGAUAUGAUCGAAGAGACUAGGAAUUGCAAGCCAGUUAACCAACAUACUCAGAGAUGUUGGAGAGGAGCGGUAGCUAUAUUAUCUCUCAUGUUGACUAAAUAUUGUUGAGGCUAUAGAAGAUGGACCUUCUGGACCUUCACCUGCUAGGAAUUGAUUAGACAUUGUUGAAGUUGUUAUUGAAGAUGCACCUUCACCAAACAAGAAGGAAGAAAUUAAAGAAGAGCAAUGUAGAUGUUAGUAUGUGGUCAUAAAAAAGUUGUAAUGCAAUAUAUUUCAUACAACAAAACUGUCUUGUGUAUAUGUAGUUUGCUCUCGAGCAAUGUUUCAUGUAAUGCUGUUGCAGGCAAAGAGUUUGAAAAAUAUAUAUAUAGUCUCUUUAUUUGUUA
Molecule: long non-coding RNA, 551 nt
Organism: Neltuma alba
Lineage: Eukaryota; Viridiplantae; Streptophyta; Magnoliopsida; Fabales; Fabaceae
Exons: 4
Source: RefSeq, a predicted model, not a curated record